UCCCCAGUGGCUCAGCUGGUAAAGAAUCUGCCUGCAGUGCGGGAGACCUGGGUUCGAUCCCUGGUUUGGGAA
Molecule: transfer RNA, 72 nt
Filed under: Bos taurus (domestic cattle)
Lineage: Eukaryota; Metazoa; Chordata; Mammalia; Artiodactyla; Bovidae
Rfam family: tRNA
About the family: Transfer RNA (tRNA) molecules are approximately 80 nucleotides in length. Their secondary structure includes four short double-helical elements and three loops (D, anti-codon, and T loops).
Source: Rfam by way of RNAcentral